RNAcentral lists this ribosomal RNA (253 nucleotides) under uncultured bacterium. RNAcentral's name for it is "partial 16S ribosomal RNA". It matches the Rfam family "Bacterial small subunit ribosomal RNA", at positions 524 to 776 of the family's 1533-position model. The record is from RNAcentral.
UACGUAGGGUGCGAGCGUUGUCCGGAAUUACUGGGCGUAAAGAGCUCGUAGGUGGUUUGUCGCGUUGUCCGUGAAAACUCACAACUCAAUUGUGGGCGUGCGGGCGAUACGGGCAGACUGGAGUACUGCAGGGGAGACUGGAAUUCCUGGUGUAGCGGUGGAAUGCGCAGAUAUCAGGAGGAACACCGGUGGCGAAGGCGGGUCUCUGGGAAGUAACUGACGCUGAGGAGCGAAAGCGUGGGGAGCGAACAGG